Molecule: long non-coding RNA, 327 nt
Organism: Polyodon spathula (Mississippi paddlefish)
Lineage: Eukaryota; Metazoa; Chordata; Actinopteri; Acipenseriformes; Polyodontidae
Exons: 3
Source: RefSeq, a predicted model, not a curated record
UUUUUUCUUUCGUUCGUGGCUUCGCGCACAUGUCUCGGGCUGCCAUGAAGUUUAGGAACAAAUUAAGAACAAAGUGAAACAUUAAUACAAGUGACAGCCUCUAUAGCUAAGCAACAGAAAAGUUUUCAACGCUUCAGUAUUUGAAAGUCCCUGCCAAACACCCGAAGGAGAGGCGGUUGCUUUUAGAGAUUUCCUGUCUGCUGCCGCCACCUUGAGGAUUCAAAUGGAAUGGAUUCAGCGCUUUCCCUGAUUCCGAGUAUAUUCAUUCUACAACUCAACUGAGACAGGACCACGAACAGAUCCACAGCACCCAAUUCCAAGUCUUUC